This 103-nucleotide microRNA precursor is filed under the name Marmota monax (woodchuck). The record is from RNAcentral. Lineage: Eukaryota; Metazoa; Chordata; Mammalia; Rodentia; Sciuridae.
AGUGGGAUAACUGGGUCAAAUGGUGAUGCUAUUCCAAGUUUUCUGAGGAAUCCCCAUACUGCUUUCCAUUGUGGUUGCACCAAUUUGCAAUCUCACCAGCAAU